UCUCCCGUAGUACAGUAGUCAGUAUGCAAGCUUAUAAUGCUUGAACCUAGGUUUAAUUCCUGGCGGGAGAG
This is a transfer RNA of Fusarium oxysporum f. sp. cubense, 71 nucleotides long. It matches the Rfam family "tRNA". From Rfam's summary of the family: Transfer RNA (tRNA) molecules are approximately 80 nucleotides in length. Their secondary structure includes four short double-helical elements and three loops (D, anti-codon, and T loops). Further hydrogen bonds mediate the characteristic L-shaped molecular structure. tRNAs have two regions of fundamental functional importance: the anti-codon, which is responsible for specific mRNA codon recognition, and the 3' end, to which the tRNAs corresponding amino acid is attached (by aminoacyl-tRNA synthetases). tRNAs cope with the degeneracy of the genetic code in two manners: having more than one tRNA (with a specific anti-codon) for a particular amino acid; and 'wobble' base-pairing, i.e. permitting non-standard base-pairing at the 3rd anti-codon position. Lineage: Eukaryota; Fungi; Ascomycota; Sordariomycetes; Hypocreales; Nectriaceae. The record is from Rfam.